UACAGAGGUCCCGAGCGUUGUUCGGAUUCACUGGGCGUAAAGGGUGCGCAGGUGGGUUUGCAAGUUUGAUGUGAAAGCCCCGGGCUUAACCCGGGAAUGGCAUUGAAUACUGCAGAUCUGGAGGAUCGGAGGGGGGACUGGAAUUCUUGGUGUAGCAGUGAAAUGCGUAGAUAUCAAGAGGAACACCAGUGGCGAAGGCGGCUUCCUGGCCUGUUCUUGACGCUGAGGCGCGAAAGCUAGGGGAGCAAACGGG
This 253-nucleotide ribosomal RNA is filed under the name uncultured prokaryote. Its description in RNAcentral is "partial 16S ribosomal RNA". It matches the Rfam family "Bacterial small subunit ribosomal RNA", at positions 524 to 776 of the family's 1533-position model. The record is from RNAcentral.